AGGGUUGUGGCUCAGUGGUAGAGCGCUUGCCUAGCAUGUGUGGGGCCCUGAGUUCGAUCCUCAGCACUA
RNAcentral lists this transfer RNA (69 nucleotides) under Ictidomys tridecemlineatus (thirteen-lined ground squirrel). Its description in RNAcentral is "Spermophilus tridecemlineatus (thirteen-lined ground squirrel) tRNA". It matches the Rfam family "tRNA". From Rfam's summary of the family: Transfer RNA (tRNA) molecules are approximately 80 nucleotides in length. Their secondary structure includes four short double-helical elements and three loops (D, anti-codon, and T loops). Further hydrogen bonds mediate the characteristic L-shaped molecular structure. tRNAs have two regions of fundamental functional importance: the anti-codon, which is responsible for specific mRNA codon recognition, and the 3' end, to which the tRNAs corresponding amino acid is attached (by aminoacyl-tRNA synthetases). tRNAs cope with the degeneracy of the genetic code in two manners: having more than one tRNA (with a specific anti-codon) for a particular amino acid; and 'wobble' base-pairing, i.e. permitting non-standard base-pairing at the 3rd anti-codon position. The record is from Rfam by way of RNAcentral. Lineage: Eukaryota; Metazoa; Chordata; Mammalia; Rodentia; Sciuridae.